RNAcentral lists this long non-coding RNA (177 nucleotides) under Pan troglodytes (chimpanzee). Its description in RNAcentral is "lincRNA". The record is from RNAcentral. Lineage: Eukaryota; Metazoa; Chordata; Mammalia; Primates; Hominidae.
GUGUUGUCAUCUAUAUGAUCUCAGUAUUUUAAAAAUCAGCUUCCGGCCCAUAUGGUGGUUCAUGCUUGUAAUACCAGCAGUUGAAGAGGCUGAAAUGAGAGGAUUCCUUGAGCCCAGGAGUUCAAAAGCAACCUGGGCAACAUAACAAGACCCAGUCUCUAUCAAAAGUUAAAAAAA